Molecule: small nucleolar RNA, 236 nt
Filed under: Colletotrichum fructicola Nara gc5
Lineage: Eukaryota; Fungi; Ascomycota; Sordariomycetes; Glomerellales; Glomerellaceae
Description: small nucleolar RNA snR191
Source: RNAcentral
ACCCCAGUCGUUUUGUCAGGAAUCCUUUCGCACUCUGUUGCCCUCAAUGGAAGGUUCUCCGUUACACGCUGGGAAUAUCAAGGGUCGUCUCGCUGUCCUGGUCCUUGGAUCAGGGCUGAUGGGGUCCGUUUUGGAUUUCCCAUCAUGAGACGAAAUUGCAUCACUUUGAGUUGAACUCUGCUAGUGCUCUCCCGAGCCUCGAUAUGGCGGUUUUCUUAGUAGCGAAGCAUACAUAU